CACAGCCCCACUUCCCCAAAGCCUUCCCUUUUAGAAAAAGGGCGAUAAUAAUAAUAAUUAAUAAUUAAGAUGCCCAUAAUAAUAGCUACCAAUUAUUGAGAGCUGCCGGUGCCCCAGGCCCUGUGCAAGCACUGCUUUACAAACUUCAAUUACUCAUCACGAUACUCAUAUGAAAUAGGACAUUUUACAACCUUUGCUUUAUAGAUAAGGAAACAGGACCCUUAAACGACUUGAUCAACUAGAAAGCAACAGAUUCUCCAAGUUAUCUACAAUCCCGAAUGGGACCCCAAGAACAGCUCUCCCAGAUCCAGGCCACUGCCCCUCUCACAGGCAUGUCCCCUUAUCAAAUCCCUGCCCAAGUCAACCACCUUCUGGUUGGAGGUCAGGCUGAGCCUGCAAGAGAGGGAAAUUACAAACAAACAAGAAACCCACAGUGCCGGAGGAAUGUGCCUGUGCUAAAGGGUAUCCUGCUGAAGGAAAUGGUAAAUAUCACCAUUUUUUCUCCUAUGGAGUUCCAAAUUCAGGGCACCAGAGUCAGGGUGGAGCCACAAGAGAACAAGACCUGGCUUCCUCACUCAGGCUCCACCCUCUCUUCCUCAGGCCGGUGAGAUGAGUGUCAGUUACUCAUGCUGUCAUUGUCUGAAGCAUCUAAGGGACAGACUUUGGCCUCAGUCAGGAACACACAGGCCCAAGGAUGCCCAGAGGAUCCCACAUCAAGGAAAGAAGCAGCAGUGUCCUUCUCACCAUCAAGAUCCAACUGCUCGGGACUGGUGAGAUGGCUCAGAGGUUAAGAGCACCGACUGCUCUUCCAGAGGUCCUGAGUUCAAUUCCCAGCAACCACAUGGUGGCUCACAAGCAUUCGUUAUGAGACCUGGUGCCCUCUUCUGGUGUGCAGAUAUACAUGGAAGCAGAAUGUUGUAUACAUAAUAAAUAAAUAAAAUCUUUAAACAAACAAACAAAAAGAUCCAACUGCUCCCUCUCAGGAAACUGUCACUGACCCUGCUACAGGGACAACUUUCCCUAAGAGUCAUU
This is a non-coding RNA of Cricetulus griseus (Chinese hamster), 1032 nucleotides long. The record is from RefSeq and is a predicted model, not a curated record. NCBI's taxonomy places the organism in Eukaryota, Metazoa, Chordata, Mammalia, Rodentia, Cricetidae.